GACGAACGCUGGCGGCGUGCUUAACACAUGCAAGUCGAACGGAAAGGCCCUGCUUGCAGGGUACUCGAGUGGCGAACGGGUGAGUAACACGUGGGUGAUCUGCCCUUCACUUCGGGAUAAGCCUGGGAAACUGGGUCUAAUACCGGAUAGGAGCCAUUUUUAGUGUGAUGGUUGGAAAGUUUUUUCGGUGUAGGAUGAGCUCGCGGCCUAUCAGCUUGUUGGUGGGGUAAUGGCCUACCAAGGCGGCGACGGGUAGCCGGCCUGAGAGGGUGGACGGCCACAUUGGGACUGAGAUACGGCCCAGACUCCUACGGGAGGCAGCAGUGGGGAAUAUUGCACAAUGGGCGCAAGCCUGAUGCAGCGACGCCGCGGGGGGGAUGACGGCCUUCGGGUUGUAAACUCCUUUCGCUAGGGACGAAGCUUUUUGUGACGGUACCUAGAGAAGAAGCACCGGCUAACUACGUG
RNAcentral lists this ribosomal RNA (465 nucleotides) under uncultured bacterium. Its description in RNAcentral is "partial 16S ribosomal RNA". It matches the Rfam family "Bacterial small subunit ribosomal RNA", at positions 28 to 507 of the family's 1533-position model. The record is from RNAcentral.